This is a long non-coding RNA of Canis lupus familiaris (dog), 2944 nucleotides long. RefSeq lists it as uncharacterized. Lineage: Eukaryota; Metazoa; Chordata; Mammalia; Carnivora; Canidae. The transcript has 3 exons. The record is from RefSeq and is a predicted model, not a curated record.
AUGCGGGGGGAGGGUUUCAAAAAGUUUCUUGGGGGAGCUGGCAUGUGAACUGGGGCUUGAAGGGCAGACAGGAACGGUCUGGCAGUGAAGCGUGCUGGGCAAAGGAAGAGCUGUGCCAGGUAGUACAGUGCCCUCUGUGAAAGAACAAUGGGCCUGGUCAGGAUGCAUUUUGGAAAGUGUGAGAGAUGAGGCCAGCAAGCAAGUUAAGGGCUGGCCUCCAAGGAUCAAAUAAGCCAUGCUUUGCCUUCUCUGCAAAGGAAAGUUAGAAAAGGAGUUUAUCCGUGUUGUAGACAGAGCAGUCUGGCAGCAUGUCAGAGCACAACUCAGAGGAAGGAAAGUCUGAUGAUGAUGAAGAAACUGAGGCACGGACGUCACAGAAUUAGUCCAAGGUCACACAGCUGGUAUGUGGCAAAACAACUUUAAACAGAUGAUUAAAGUAAGACAGAAGCAAUCUGGGCAAAGGACCAAAACCUCACUCCGCUGAGUUUUACUGAAGAGAGGUAAAAUUUCCUAAUAGUUCAAAGUAAUGGAACAGAGUGGGGGAAGGGGAAGGCAAAGACAUUCAUUUUAAUUCCUCACAGGAAGGAAGUUAGAAACAAACAGUAUGACCUGGAGAUCUGGCUCCCGAAGCAGGGCAGUUUCUCCCAUGCUAACCUGGGAUGACUCCCCAAGGACAUCCCUUCCCUAUGUAGCCUGUGGGGUCUCUCCUGCCCUCACCACUGCCGGCCCCGAACUUCACUGCCUGUCUCUAUUGCCUCACGCCUCCAGAAAUGUUGCCCAUUAACCUGGAAUGUUCCCCUUACCACCUCCUGAUCUUAACUUGUCAAAUGCCUGCUAGCCUCUGUAGUAUACAGAUUACAGAAACCACCCAAAACUUCUGCAUUGGAAUCUUAAGCUAUAUUUUUCACAGCACCCAGAUGAUACCUAUGCUAGAGGCUUUCUCAUCUAUCUGUGUCGGAGAAUCAUUAACCCUAAUUCAUUAACUUUAAAGAGACAAGAACACAGAUCCAAUACAAGGAGACCUGACUAUUGUCAAGCUAAGGUUGUUUUUGCCUCUAGCAAAGCAGUAACAUUAAGACAGUUGGGAGUUUUCCUGGAGGAGUGUUAUACUCUGUCUGCCUCAAGUAUUUGUCAAACGGGCUGCAGGUUAUAAUGAAAUUCAAUUUUAUCGACGUUUCCUGCCUUUGUUCCCCACAUCACCUAUGCCAGAGGCUUUCUCAUCCAUCGACGUCUGAGAAUCACUGAUCUUAAUUUAUUAACUUAAAAGAGAUAGGAACACCUAUGAUAUUUAAGCGCAGAUCCAAUACAAGAAGACAUGGAUGGGUUCCCAGACAUGUCUCUGCAGACGUCUGAUACAAGUAAGGGGUGGCGUGAGGAUGAGGCCAAAAAGCUGACCUAGUCUCUGCAGGACAGAACACACACUCUAGCCUUAUCAAAACACCAUAGCAGGCUUCGACUCCUUUAUGACUGCUGGCUUCUAUUUAGCUGGACUUUGGGGAAAAACACAACCUUGUGGGUAGAUCCUUCCACCAGAAUUAACCUUCACCUACCUUCCUCUCUCCUUCCCCCCCCCCACCUCUACCAAAAUGAAAUGCCUUUCAAUUAUGAGACCGUAUGAAAGGACUUACGGAACAGUAAGCCUCACAUAUCUCUCAGAUACUUUCAAUGGUGUGAUCACAUACUGAAAAACUUGCUUUAGCAGGAUACCUCCCUAAAGAGAACACUGAGCAAAACCCACCCUAGGGUUUUGCUGCCUGGAACCCUUUCACAAACAGCUUGUUUGCCAGCUGAGUUAUAAGCGCUCAUUCAAGUUCAAAUUUGUGACCUUUAUGGCCACUAAAUAAAAGCAAUAAAGCAACCUAUUUAGAGAAAGGCAACGUGCAUUUCUAAGGAUUUCCUUUCUCCCCCCACAAGAGAAACAAGAUGCCAAAGUUACAUCCUCCAUAUGUAUCCUCCACAAUUCACUGCAAUUAGGCCAGUAAUGAAAAAAACACCUCUGACCCAAUAUUACAGGCUUAAUGUACUGUUAUUUUCCUUCUAAAUAGACUCUUACUCAGAUGUGUACAUUAGACUGAUGACAACGUUCAUGAGUUUUCCCAGUCCCUGAUUUAAGACUUGAAGGCAGUAAAAUCAACAACAACAACAAAAAAUUAAACAAUUUGUUUGGGAGCAUUUUUAAAUUGAGACUAUUAACACUGUCUCCAACAUCUCAUUUUGAAGUAACUGCAGCAUAUACAUAAUGGGUGUUAAUUUGGGGGACACACAGGACUUCUAGACUUAUUACAAUAAAUUUAAAUCAACCAAAAGUGUUGGCAGAUCCAGCUCCCCAGACCUGAUAUGCCAUCUCCAAGUCUCCACAUGUUUGGGGAACAGGUGCUUAUCAAAUGGAGACACCAAACUAUCUGAUGAUCAAGUUCUUUUCAGCUCAAACUUUCUAUAAUUCAGUGAUACAUAUUACCACUGUGGCUAAGUGGGUUUAUUACUCUGUCCUUCUGUGUGACCCUACUUUGUCAUGUUCUGUGUGACCUAGCAUUUGCCACAUAAGAGAACUUCUGAGGAGCAUUCACUAGUGAAUGGAACACUCUCCAUUUUUACUCAUUAAUCCAUUUGUGAAUGAGCUGAUUCAUGCAUUAACUCUCCUGCCUGCUCAAUCAAUCGCUCAGUAGGCAUUCCUAAACCACAGGAUGCCAUACAGGACUGACAGGUAAGGAACACAAACACACAAUCCAACAGGAGACCAAGAUGAAGGUACGUAAGCAAGUAACUUCAAUACCAGGAGUGGCAGAAGAAACAGGACACCCUUGUGUUGCCCAAUAUGCUAGUCACUAGUCACAUGGGGCUACUGAGCACCUGACAUGAGACUGGUCAAACUGAGAUGGGCUCUAAGUAUAAAAUACACAGUGGAUUUCAAAGGCUUUGUAUGAAAAAAAAAAAAUGUAAAAUA